RNAcentral lists this ribosomal RNA (172 nucleotides) under Elatostema sp. Robinson & Kloss 198. RNAcentral's name for it is "5.8S ribosomal RNA". It matches the Rfam family "5.8S ribosomal RNA". Rfam says of the family: 5.8S ribosomal RNA (5.8S rRNA) is a component of the large subunit of the eukaryotic ribosome. It is transcribed by RNA polymerase I as part of the 45S precursor that also contains 18S and 28S rRNA. Lineage: Eukaryota; Viridiplantae; Streptophyta; Magnoliopsida; Rosales; Urticaceae. The record is from RNAcentral.
AAUAGAGCAAAAUGACUCUCGGCAACGGAUAUCUCGGCUCUUGCAUCGAUGAAGAACGUAGCAAAAUGCGAUACGUGGUGUGAAUUGCAGAAUUCUGUGAACCAUCGAGUUUUUGAACGCAAGUUGCGCCCAAUGUCAUUUGGCUGAGGGCACGUCUGCCUGGGCGUCACGC